RNAcentral lists this ribosomal RNA (326 nucleotides) under uncultured Bacteroidota bacterium. RNAcentral's name for it is "bacterial SSU rRNA". It matches the Rfam family "Bacterial small subunit ribosomal RNA", at positions 28 to 351 of the family's 1533-position model. Lineage: Bacteria; Pseudomonadati; Bacteroidota. The record is from RNAcentral.
GAUGAACGCUAGCGGCAGGCCUAAUACAUGCAAGUCGAACGGUAAGUUGAAUAGCAAUAUUUGACCUAGAGUGACGUACGGGUGCGUAACACGUAUGCAACCUACCCUUUACAGGAGGAUAGCUCGGGGAAACUCGAAUUAACCCUCCAUGAGAUCAUAGAGUAGCAUUACUUAGUGAUUAAAACUCCGGUGGUAAAGGAUGGGCAUGCGUCUGAUUAGUUAGUUGGCGGGGUAACGGCCCACCAAGACGAUGAUCAGUAGGGGAACUGAGAGGUUGAUCCCCCACACUGGCACUGAGAUACGGGCCAGACUCCUACGGGAGGCUG